This 114-nucleotide small RNA is filed under the name Klebsiella pneumoniae. RNAcentral's name for it is "partial RtT sRNA". It matches the Rfam family "RtT RNA", at positions 22 to 130 of the family's 130-position model. From Rfam's summary of the family: This family represents a bacterial cis-regulatory element known as RtT RNA. The exact function of RtT is unknown although it is thought that it may be involved in changing the cellular response in relation to amino acid starvation. Lineage: Bacteria; Pseudomonadati; Pseudomonadota; Gammaproteobacteria; Enterobacterales; Enterobacteriaceae. The record is from RNAcentral.
CUUCGACUAAGGUUCGACUAAGGUUCGACUCGAGCGAAGCGAGAGAACGUUGCCGCAGGCAACGGCCCGAAGGGCGAGGCGCUUUAGCGCCGAGUAAUCCUUCCCCCACCACCA